RNAcentral lists this ribosomal RNA (451 nucleotides) under uncultured bacterium. RNAcentral describes it as "partial 16S ribosomal RNA". It matches the Rfam family "Bacterial small subunit ribosomal RNA", at positions 29 to 523 of the family's 1533-position model. The record is from RNAcentral.
AGCGAACGCUGGCGGCAGGCUUAACACAUGCAAGUCGAGCGGGCGUAGCAAUACGUCAGCGGCAGACGGGUGAGUAACGCGCGGGAACGUACCUUUUGGUUCGGAACAACACAGGGAAACUUGUGCUAAUACUGGAUAAGCCCUUACGGGGAAAGAUUUAUCGCCGAAAGAUCGGCCCGCGUCUGAUUAGCUAGUUGGUGAGGUAACGGCUCACCAAGGCGACGAUCAGUAGCUGGUCUGAGAGGAUGAUCAGCCACAUUGGGACUGAGACACGACCCAAAAUCCGACGGGAGGGAGCAGUGGGGAAUAUUGGACAAUGGGCGCAAGCCUGAUCCAGCCAUGCCGCGUGAGUGAUGAAGGCCCUAGGGUUGUAAAGCUCUUUUGUGCGGAAAGAUAAUGACGGUACCGCAAGAAUAAGCCCCGGCUAACUUCGUGCCAGCCGCCGCGGUAA